This 373-nucleotide ribosomal RNA is filed under the name uncultured organism. RNAcentral describes it as "bacterial SSU rRNA". It matches the Rfam family "Bacterial small subunit ribosomal RNA", at positions 526 to 896 of the family's 1533-position model. The record is from RNAcentral.
CGGGGGGGGCAAGCGUUGUUCGGAUUUACUGGGCGUAAAGGGCGCGUAGGCGGCGCGACAAGUCACUUGUGAAAUCUCCGGGCUUAACCCGGAGCGGCCAAGUGAUACUGUCGUGCUUGAGUGCGGAAGGGGCCAUCGGAAUUCUCGGUGUAGCGGUGAAAUGCGUAGAUAUCGAGAGGAACACCUGCGGCGAAGGCGGGUGGCUGGGCCGACACUGACGCUGAGGCGCGAAAGCCAGGGGAGCGAACGGGAUUAGAUACCCCGGUAGUCCUGGCCUUAAACGAUGGAUGCUUGGUGUCCGGGGUGAGGAAGUCCCCGGGUGCCGGCGCUAACGCAUUAAGCAUCCCGCCUGGGGAGUACGGCCGCAAGGCUG